Molecule: ribosomal RNA, 222 nt
Filed under: Bacillus licheniformis
Lineage: Bacteria; Bacillati; Bacillota; Bacilli; Caryophanales; Bacillaceae
Description: partial 16S ribosomal RNA
Rfam family: Bacterial small subunit ribosomal RNA
Source: RNAcentral
CCUAACCAGAAAGCCACGGCUAACUACGUGCCAGCAGCCGCGGUAAUACGUAGGUGGCAAGCGUUGUCCGGAAUUAUUGGGCGUAAAGCGCGCGCAGGCGGUUUCUUAAGUCUGAUGUGAAAGCCCCCGGCUCAACCGGGGAGGGUCAUUGGAAACUGGGGAACUUGAGUGCAGAAGAGGAGAGUGGAAUUCCACGUGUAGCGGUGAAAUGCGUAGAGAUGU